Molecule: ribosomal RNA, 501 nt
Filed under: uncultured bacterium
Lineage: Bacteria
Description: partial 16S ribosomal RNA
Rfam family: Bacterial small subunit ribosomal RNA
Source: RNAcentral
AUUGAACGCUGGCGGCAUGCCUUACACAUGCAAGUCGGACGGCAGCACGGGUGCUUGCACCUGGUGGCGAGUGGCGAACGGGUGAGUAAUACAUCGGAACGUACCUUAUCGUGGGGGAUAACGCAGCGAAAGCUGUGCUAAUACCGCAUACGCCCUGAGGGGGAAAGCGGGGGGUCGAAAGACCUCGCGCGAUUAGAGCGGCCGAUGCCUGAUUAGCUUGUUGGUGGGGUAAAAGCCCACCAAGGCGACGAUCAGUAGAUGGUCUGAGAGGACGAUCAGCCACACUGGGUCUGAGACACGGCCCAGACUCCUACGAGAGGCAGCAGUGGGGAAUUUGGGACAAUGGGGGCAACUCUGAUCCAGCAAUGCCGCGUGAGUGAAGAAGGCCUUCGGGUUGUAAAGCUCUUUUGUCAGGGAAGAAACACCGGCUCUAACACAGUCCGGGAAUGACGGUACCUGAAGAAUAAGCACCGGCUAACUACGUGCCAGCCGCCGCAGUAA